RNAcentral lists this ribosomal RNA (450 nucleotides) under uncultured bacterium. Its description in RNAcentral is "partial 16S ribosomal RNA". It matches the Rfam family "Bacterial small subunit ribosomal RNA", at positions 338 to 795 of the family's 1533-position model. The record is from RNAcentral.
CCUACGGGAGGCUGCAGUGGGGAAUUUUGGACAAUGGGGGCAACCCUGAUCCAGCCAUGCCGCGUGAGUGAAGAAGGCCUUCGGGUUGUAAAGCUCUUUCGGCCGGGAAGAAAUCGCUCAAGCUAAUACCUUGGGUGGAUGACGGUACCGGAAGAAGAAGCACCGGCUAACUACGUGCCAGCAGCCGCGGUAAUACGUAGGGUGCGAGCGUUAAUCGGAAUUUGUGGGCGCGGAGCGUGCGCACGCGGGUGAAAGCCCCGGGCUGAACCUGGGAACUGCGUGUGUGACUGGGGUGCUCGAGUGCGGCAGAGGGGGGUGGAAUUCCACGUGUAGCAGUGAAAUGCGUAGAGAUGUGGAGGAACACCGAUGGCGAAGGCAGCCCCCUGGGUAGACACUGACGCUCAUGCACGAAAGCGUGGGGAGCAAACAGGAUUAGAUACCCCAGUAGUC